UUUAGUUUUAGUGAUUUGUUGUGUAAACUGUUUCUUUAUAAAAGAAAUGCACCUGUUUCAGAAAAUAUUCUAGUGUGAUCAAUAAUCUAAAUUUUACGAAAUACAUGUUUAGGGAUUUAAGGGGAUAAUAAGCACGUGAAAGCCCAAACGCAUAUAUGUCCCACAACGAAAAUGUCACAUAUUAUCCGUGAAUGCAAUAUAUAUCUAUACAAGAUUAAUAGUCACGAUGUGAAUUUCUAUGGAGUGGGGUUUAUAGUAUUGCCAAUCUAUAAAUAAUCAUUUUUAUUUUUCAACUAAUCGAUUUG
Molecule: long non-coding RNA, 305 nt
Filed under: Brassica napus (rape)
Lineage: Eukaryota; Viridiplantae; Streptophyta; Magnoliopsida; Brassicales; Brassicaceae
Description: long non-coding RNA (BNAP_LNC014348)
Source: RNAcentral